GCCCCCAAAUAUAAGACAUACAAUCCAUUAGGAUAUACCACUAAUCAGCUCUACUAGUUAGGCCUAGAGAAAAAUUAGCUUUGAUUUAUACGGUCACAAUUAAUCCUAUGACUGACAAAGAGAUUAACUAGUCUUGAAAACAAACACAUGGUACAUUAGUGUGUGCCAACGACUACUCCGACUGACUAGGUCCAAAAAGAUUAACUUUACUAACGAUCAGUCCAGACUGGCUAGGACUAGAAAAAACUAAUUUCUAACAUAUAGUCAAUUAUUAGUCCCAUUGGCUAGACCAGAUCAUAGUCUAAAUAAAAAAUUUUUCAUUAGUUCUCAUAAUAUAAUCAUAUUUAUCUUCAUAAUAAUUUUAAAUUUGAAG
This 373-nucleotide long non-coding RNA is filed under the name Elaeis guineensis (African oil palm). RNAcentral's name for it is "long non-coding RNA (EGUI_LNC033028)". The record is from RNAcentral. Lineage: Eukaryota; Viridiplantae; Streptophyta; Magnoliopsida; Arecales; Arecaceae.